UAAAAGUUAGUUAAUCUAUAUAACGUAAAAUUGUCAAUUUUAAAUAACUAGUUAGUUAUAGUACUUUUAA
RNAcentral lists this transfer RNA (70 nucleotides) under Rhombosepion orbignyanum. Its description in RNAcentral is "tRNA-Asp". Lineage: Eukaryota; Metazoa; Mollusca; Cephalopoda; Sepiida; Sepiidae. The record is from RNAcentral.